AUACUUUUAUUAUAAUAAGUAAAUGUAACUUCCAAUUACAAAGUCCUCUCAGCGGGAAAGUAUA
This 64-nucleotide transfer RNA is filed under the name Sminthurides bifidus. RNAcentral's name for it is "tRNA-Gly". The record is from RNAcentral. Lineage: Eukaryota; Metazoa; Arthropoda; Collembola; Symphypleona; Sminthurididae.